GGUUAAGCGAAUAAGCGUACACGGUGGAUGCCUAGGCAAUCAGAGGCGAUGAAGGACGUGCUAAUCUGCGAAAAGCGUCGGUAAGGUGAUAUGAACCGUUAUACCCGACGAUAUCCGAAUGGGGAAACCCAGUAUCCAAUGGAUACUAUCAUUAACUGAAUCCAUAGGUUAAUGAGGCGAACCGGGAGAACUGAAACAUCUCAGUACCCCGAGGAAAAGAAAUCAACCGAGAUUCCCCUAGUAGCGGCGAGCGAACGGGGAGCAGCCCAGAGUCUUAAUCAAUAACAGUGUCAGGAGAACGGUCUGGAAAGUCCGGCAGUAAAGGGUGAUAGCCCCGUAUCUGAAGAUGUUGUUAUUGUGAACUCGACGAGUAGGGCGGGACACGUGUUAUCCUGUCUGAAUAUGGGGGGACCAUCCUCCAAGGCUAAAUACUCCUGAUUGACCGAUAGUGAACCAGUACCGUGAGGGAAAGGCGAAAAGAACCCCGGUGAGGGGAGUGAAAAAGAACCUGAAACCGUGUACGUACAAGCAGUAGGAGCCUCUUUAUGGGGUGACUGCGUACCUUUUGUAUAAUGGGUCAGCGACUUAUAUUCUGUAGCGAGGUUAACCGCAUAGGGGAGCCGUAGGGAAACCGAGUCUUAACUGGGCGAAUGAGUUGCAGGGUAUAGACCCGAAACCCGGUGAUCUAUCCAUGGGCAGGUUGAAGGUUGGGUAACACUAACUGGAGGACCGAACCGACUAAUGUUGAAAAAUUAGCGGAUGACUUGUGGAUGGGGGUGAAAGGCCAAUCAAACCGGGAGAUAGCUGGUUCUCCCCGAAAGCUAUUUAGGUAGCGCCUCGUGAACUCAUCUUCGGGGGUAGAGCACUGUUUCGACUAGGGGGUCAUCCCGACUUACCAACUCGAUGCAAACUGCGAAUACCGAAGAAUGUUAUCACGGGAGACACACGGCGGGUGCUAACGUCCGUCGUGAAGAGGGAAACAACCCAGACCGCCAGCUAAGGUCCCAAAGUCAUGGUUAAGUGGGAAACGAAGUGGGAAGGCUCAGACAGCCAGGAUGUUGGCUUAGAAGCAGCCAUCAUUUAAAGAAAGCGUAAUAGCUCACUGGUCGAGUCGGCCCGCGCGGAAGAUGUAACGGGGCUAAACCAUGCACCGAAGCUGCGGCAGCGACACAAAGUGUUGUUGGGUAGGGGAGCGUUCUGUAAGCCUGCGAAGGUGUACUGUGAGGUAUGCUGGAGGUAUCAGAAGUGCGAAUGCUGACAUAAGUAACGAUAAUGCGGGUGAAAAACCCGCACGCCGGAAGACCA
RNAcentral lists this ribosomal RNA (1305 nucleotides) under Proteus mirabilis. Its description in RNAcentral is "partial 23S ribosomal RNA". It matches the Rfam family "Bacterial large subunit ribosomal RNA", at positions 1 to 1347 of the family's 2925-position model. Lineage: Bacteria; Pseudomonadati; Pseudomonadota; Gammaproteobacteria; Enterobacterales; Morganellaceae. The record is from RNAcentral.